Molecule: ribosomal RNA, 684 nt
Filed under: Triticum aestivum (bread wheat)
Lineage: Eukaryota; Viridiplantae; Streptophyta; Magnoliopsida; Poales; Poaceae
Description: partial small subunit ribosomal RNA
Source: RNAcentral
AUGUGGAGCCGCGAGGAUCACCCGCCCUGGGUUGAUAAUCCGGGUCACUUAGCUUUGGUGGUGGUACCUAAGGUUGGAGGGUAUAAAUUCACUAAGGUACUCAUGGACGGAGGCAACAGCAUCAAUAUCCUUUAUUAUGAAACUUUCCGUCGCAUGGGAUUGACUGCUAAAAAUCUUAAACCGUCGAACACCGUUUUUCACGGUGUGGUGCCUGGUAAGUCGGCAUACCCGGUUGGUAAGAUAGCCCUGGAGGUUGCUUUUGGAGAUGAUUACGAUUCCAGGUCUGAGACGUUGACCUUUGAAGUGGUUAAGAUCAAGAGCCCCUAUCAUGCUCUGUUUGGGCGGCCGGCUUAUGCCAAAUUCAUGGCACAACCUUGUUAUGUUUAUCUGCAGCUCAAAAUGUCGGGUCACAAGGGGACUAUCACAGUGCAUGGAAGCCGGAAGAUAGCUUUGGAGUGUGAAGAAAGUGAUGUGGCUUAUGUUGAGUCUGUCUAUGCAACAGAGGAAUUAAAGUUUUACAAAGAUAAUGUUGACCCGACCGAUAUGACAUCUUUGAAGAAGCCAACUAUGGAGCACGAUCCGGUCUUGAAGUUUAAAUCGACGGAUGACACCAAGCCAGUUGAUUUCGUUCUUGGCGAUCCAUCCAAGCAGUUCAGCAUCAGUGCUAAUCUAGAUCCGAAAUAG